Molecule: small nucleolar RNA, 139 nt
Filed under: Setaria italica (foxtail millet)
Lineage: Eukaryota; Viridiplantae; Streptophyta; Magnoliopsida; Poales; Poaceae
Description: Small nucleolar RNA Z247
Rfam family: Small nucleolar RNA Z247
About the family: Z247 is a member of the C/D class of snoRNA which contain the C (UGAUGA) and D (CUGA) box motifs. Most of the members of the box C/D family function in directing site-specific 2'-O-methylation of substrate RNAs.
Source: Rfam by way of RNAcentral
ACUAUAGAUGAUGACGAGAUGAUCCACUUUAUUCUCAAUGGUCUUGAUUUCGACUAUAAUCCUUUUGUGACAUCUAUGCUUGGUCACGUUGGCUUCCUUUCUUUGAGCAAUCUAUAUUCUUAAUUGCUUACAUAUGAUC